Molecule: small nucleolar RNA, 138 nt
Organism: Coregonus clupeaformis (lake whitefish)
Lineage: Eukaryota; Metazoa; Chordata; Actinopteri; Salmoniformes; Salmonidae
Source: RefSeq, a predicted model, not a curated record
UCCAGCCCUUAUCGAAGCAGAUUCGGCAUACUCUCCCAGCUGAGUCGGUCAACAAAGGAGCCAAAAUAAUCUAUUUUACAGACGGCCGCUGUUCAGAUCUCUUGUAGCUUACCAGCAACAAUUUGGGAAAGAACAUCA